GACGAACGCUGGCGGCGUGCCUAAUACACGCAAGUUGAGCGCUGAAGGUUGGUACUUGUACCGACUGGAUGAGCAGCGAACGGGUGAGUAACGCGUGGGGAAUCUGCCUUUGAGCGGGGGACAACAUUUGGAAACGAAUGCUAAUACCGCAUAAAAACUUUAAACACAAGUUUUAAGUUUGAAAGAUGCAAUUGCAUCACUCAAAGAUGAUCCCGCGUUGUAUUAGCUAGUUGGUGAGGUAAAGGCUCACCAAGGCGAUGAUACAUAGCCGACCUGAGAGGGUGAUCGGCCACAUUGGGACUGAGACACGGCCCAAACUCCUACGGGAGGCAGCAGUAGGGAGUCUUCGGCAAUGGACGAAAGUCUGACCGAGCAACGCCGCGUGAGUGAAGAAGGUUUUCGGAUCGUAAAACUCUGUUGGUAGAGAAGAACGUUGGUGAGAGUGGAAAGCUCAUCAAGUGACGGUAACUACCCAGAAAGGGACGGCUAACUACGUGCCAGCAGCCGCGGUAA
This 513-nucleotide ribosomal RNA is filed under the name uncultured bacterium. RNAcentral's name for it is "partial 16S ribosomal RNA". It matches the Rfam family "Bacterial small subunit ribosomal RNA", at positions 28 to 523 of the family's 1533-position model. The record is from RNAcentral.